UACACUGUCGUGCUCCUGUACC
Molecule: non-coding RNA, 22 nt
Filed under: Mus musculus (house mouse)
Lineage: Eukaryota; Metazoa; Chordata; Mammalia; Rodentia; Muridae
Source: RNAcentral